Molecule: long non-coding RNA, 298 nt
Filed under: Linum usitatissimum (flax)
Lineage: Eukaryota; Viridiplantae; Streptophyta; Magnoliopsida; Malpighiales; Linaceae
Description: long non-coding RNA (LUSI_LNC000912)
Source: RNAcentral
GGCCAUACAACAAAACAGAGGACCAUUUAUAUUUCCCCCCUUCCGUCAAAAAAACAACAAGGGAGAGGAAAAUGGUUCAGUGCUUGAAGCCUUUGAAGAAGAACAGCCUGCUGUUAGUGAGGAUGAACACAGUUUACCUGAUCUAAAAGCCAUUGAUGAUAUUGUAGAAUUUAUCUCUCAGGAUGAAUUGGUUAAUGACGAGGAGCAGGAUCUUGAUGAUGAUUUUGAUACGCCAGAGGAAAAGGUAAAUGUUAAUGGCAGCAUAGUUGAUCAUGGGGGACUGGAAACUCACGUUGGG